Molecule: long non-coding RNA, 4992 nt
Filed under: Sus scrofa (pig)
Lineage: Eukaryota; Metazoa; Chordata; Mammalia; Artiodactyla; Suidae
Description: lncRNA (ENSSSCG00030023424.1)
Source: RNAcentral
UUUUUUUUUUGUCUUUUUAGGGCUGCACCCACAGUAUAUGGAUGUUCCCAGGCUAGCGGUUGAAUCAGAGCUGCAGCUGCCAGCCUAUACCACAGCCAUAGCAAUGCCAGAUCUGAGCUGCCUCUGAGAUCUACACUGCAGCUCACAGCAAUGGGCAAUCCUUAACCCACCGAGCGAGGCCAGGGAUUGAACCUACGUCCCUAUGGAUCCUACUUGAGUUUGUUUGUGCUGAGCUACAGUGGGAACUCCAAGAAUUAAUAUUGAAGGAAGGAGAUAUACAAGGACAGGGCCAUGCCAAGGGGCACUACUCCUGUGUGUAGGGAGGUGCCUUUAAUUUGGACUUAACAAAAAUACCUAUCAUACCUGAUAAGACUGGUCAAAAGCCACAACUAUCUGUAUAAUACUUCUAUAUUUUAUAUUGAAUUUAUUAAUGGCAAUUUACACAACAUUAUCUCUUUCCCAUGGGAUGGUAGGGCUCUAUCAAAAUAGGUCAAAAAUCCUUUGCUUUAAAACAGGCAAAAUGUAUAUUCAUAAGUCCAUGAAAUUUAUUUCUUAGAGCCCCAUUUUGUCCAUAAAUUCAGAAGUUACCCCUGAAACAAAAAAUUCUACUCAGGCAUUUUGUGCUGAAGUUGAAACAAUAUGAACACAAAUAUAACAAAUUUAGACCCAAGACUUUUUUUUUUUUCUUGAAAAAGCCUUUCCACUUCUGAAGAAAUGUCCUCUCAAGGGACCUGAACAUGUCCAGCCACUGACUUUCUCACAAACAGGAUUUGGAGGGAGCUGGGUUUUCCAUGGUGAAAACAUCCAGAUUCAUCGCAAGAAGAAAAUUUCCCACAACUAGCUAAACUCAAAUCUUUAAGGAAACGGUAUGUUACAUUACUGAAAUGUUUAUAUCCAGGGUCUCAGAGGCAAAUACAUCGUCCACAUGAUUGGGUAAAUAUUUCUUUUAGAACGUAAACAUAAUUUUUAUUCUGAAAAUCUUAACGACAGAGUUUUUUGGUUUUUUUUUUUUUCCAAGGAAGUUUGGAAUUAAAAAAUAUUUAAGGCAGCCAGCUUUUUGAUUACAUUGCCAAGGAGUCCUAAACUUGAACAUUUACCAAGGAUAUUAGGGAAAGGUCGCAAGAAGAUAAUGAUUGACCCCAUGUGAAUUGUCCACGUUCGCCAUAAAAUAUUUCCCAUUCCUCAUAGUUGCAAACUGGCUGGUUAGUGUGUAAAAUCAGUGUGGAUUUGGGGCCGGGCUGAAGGGCUUGCUUGGAGGGCAGCACUGGGUCACACAGAACCGUGUUCUCUGUGACACGCCAGCAAGGCCCACACUCUUGUCUCUGAGGCAGUCACUCUAGAUGGCCCAGAGGGUACGUAAGAGCUCUUGUGCCCAGCACCCAGACUUGGGGUGAUGAAAGCAAAGGAUGUAUUUCCAAGAAUGAUUUGGUCUUUAUUUAUUUAUUUGCUUUUUACAGCUGCACCUGUGGCAAUGGAGUUUCCCAGGCUAGGGGUCGAAUUGGAGCUACAGCUGCUGGCCUACACCACAGCCACAGCAACGCCAGAUCCGAGCUGUGUCUGUGACCUACACCACAGCUCAUGGCAACGCCGGAUCCUUAACCCACUGAGUGAGGCCAGGGAUCGAACCUCUGUCCUCAUGGAUGCUAGUCAGAUUUGUUUCUGCUGAGCCACGAGGGGAACUUCUGGUUUCAAUUUAAAAUUCAAUUCAAACUGGAUAACAAAAACUGUAGGUUUAGCUCCCCUGGGACUCUGGCAUAAAUCUCAAGGCGAUGGUAAACUAUGGGGAGGGGGUGGGUGGGAAAAUAGAGUUUUUAGGAUGACUGCUGAGUGUGAUUUGGGCAACAUGUAGUUGGACCAAGGGACAGACAGGUCCCUCUGCUGCUGGCAAGACAGUGUCCAGACAGCCCAGGAGGCGGCCCUCAUGGCUUCAGCAGAGGCUGAGCUGGUCUUCGGGGUCUGAGCACAGUUCAGACACACCUUCAGGGCUUGAGGGGCCCAGCAGCAGCAGAGAGAGGAAGAAAGCACAGAGGACUCAUGGGUUGCAGAGAAGUCUACAUAUAAGCACAUGUGAGCAUCGCAGGGGGUCUCCAGACCUUGUGUGUGUGUGUGUGUGUGUGUGUGUGUGUGUUAACUCAGUAGACCUGAGGCUGCUGCAGGUUCUGGUGAAGCCAAAGCCACAGGCAGAGGCCUAGUUACUAAAUCUGUGACCCAGUGUUUACUUCUCUGCUGGAAGGCUUAAGCAGAGAGAGGCUGUGGUACCAGUUCUUGCUGCAAUAUUACCCCCCCAUCACAAAUUCUUUUAAUUAAACAGUUGGAAUCAUAUGUUAAAAAUACUCCGGAGAACUAUGUAAAUUUAUGUAAAAAAUACAUUAAAACCAAAUAAUCACAUAAUGGGUAGAUUUUUUUAACAUGUAUUUCUCAAAUAAAAUUCCUAUAGAUGUAUGCAUAUAUGUAUGUAUAUGUAUGUAUAUGUGAGUACGUGUGUGUGUAUAUAUAUAACGAGUUAUAUAUGAAUUAAAUCCUUAAGCAAAGAGCAAAAAGAAUAUUUCUCUUUCUCUCUCUCUCUUUUUUUUAGGGCUGUACCCGCAGCCUAUGGAAGUUCCAAGGCCAGGGGUUGAACUGGAGCCACAGCCACAGAAACGCCAGAUCCUUAACCCACUGAGCAAAGCCAGGGAUCCAACCCAUGUCUUCAUGGGUACUAGUUGGGUUCAUUACCACUGAGCCACGAUGGGAACUCUGAGAGUAUUUCUCUUUAAAGUUUUCUAUUAUUAAUGAUUUCUAGGGAAGAAAGGUGGCAGUGCACUUUUUGGAGGGGAGAAGGGGGAGUCGGAGCUAGCCUCACCAGAGACAACUCCGAUACUAUCUUCAUCUGGAAUAAGUGUUUGAUAUCUGUUUGUGAGACAGAUUCCAGAAAAGGAGAAUAUUAAAUAAGUUAAAGGAAAGCCAAAAAUAUUUCCCCUUCACUAAUAGUCUAAAUAUUCACAAGACAUUUAUCACUAUGAAAUGCAUGACUGUGAGACUCUAAUUAAAUUGCUAUUUCUAGCCCUUGAGCUACAGUGAGAAUUCUAUAAAGGAGGCCAUAAACCAGUUAUCAACUAUUUUAAUCACAGUUUGAAUUAACACAAGAAAACAGUACCCAAGGAGAGGGCAUAAUUUUUACUCACAUUCAACAGGCUUAAAAUUCCAAACCAGACAGCAAGUUCUCCAUAGACAAGGUCUGUUUCUCUUAUUUCUCUGUUUACACUUAGGGCACUGAAUAGGGCUCUGCAGAGUCUGUACUGCAUAAAUCUUACAGGCUGACUUGCAAGAGUCUCUUAAAAAAAAUCAUAAAAACAUCUUUUAACUCAAAUUCCAGGUUAGAACAUCCUGUGAGGCUCUCUGCCCAGUAAUCAUAAACUCAUCAUGUAAUGAUGUCAGCAAUUGGACAUGCUCACAAACCUCAUGCAAAGGCAUUCGUGUUGCUAAAUUUGCACAGAGGAAGUCUCUGGCUUGCUGUCAAAAAUCAGACAUGUGGACAUUGUGAUUCAGUGUUGUCCUAGCAUCAGUUCAAGAACUAGCAAGGAAAAGGAAAUGAGAAGAAAGAAAUGAAUUUGUAGAUUAGAUGCAAAGGAUGCCAUAUCCUGACAGUUCCUGCCUCUUACUCUCUUUGGGUCCCUGCAAGCCCGCCCUGGCCAUGUGGGUUUCCAGAAUCACACAUAUAGAUGUUGAUGGGGUCACCACUCAGGCUGCUCUCCAGAAAAAUGAGAACCUCUAAACAGGGACAUUGGAAACAUCUGUUCAACAAUUAUUUGUAAGUAUCCAGUAUGUGCCACUUAUUGAUCUAAUUAGUAGGGCUCCAAGCGUGAGCAAAACUGGUCCUCUGAUUUUUAGGAGAUUCAAAAAACUCUGGAAAGAAAAGAAGUAUCAAAUACUUUGAAGAGAAUGAAUUAUAAAUUAUGGAGCAGUUAUCUUACUAUAAAUAUGCACUUAAUGCUCGCAAUGACACAUAGUCAAAAUUUUAGCCUGGUUCUGCUUCAAGCCACCAGCUUCAUGUCACCAUGGGAGCUGGAAAGCACUAGCAAGGGUCCUCUAAUGUCUUUUUGGGCUCUAAUUUGUAAUCAUCUUUUCCUCUUUUUUGGGGGGAAGGUGGUGGUGCCUGCUAUAUGCAGAAAUUCUCCUGGGCCAGGGAUUGAACCCACACCAUAGCAGUAACCCAAGCCACAGAAGUGACAAUGCUGGGUCCUCCACCUGCUGGGCCACUAGAGAACUCCUUCCCCUUUUUAAAAUUAUUCUGAUUUGACUCUUUCCUCUCAAGUCUCAUUGCUGCUUUUGCCUUCUGGUCUUGGACCUACCAAGGUUUCACCAACUAAAUAUGUAUUUAUUUAUUUAUUUUUAUUUAGGAAGUUUUCAAAUGUGCACAAAGUUGACUGCAUCAUGAGUCGACAAAUGAUUCAUUUUUAUUAUACGAUGAAUCUCCAUGGACUUAUCCCGGCGCUUCAGCCAUCAUCAUUGUUUUGCCAAUCUUAUUGCAUGUGUCUUUGCUGCCUUUUUUACAAUGUCAAUUUUAUUUUCAUCACUUGAGAUAUUUCAAUUUUGAAUGAUCACUGAUACAUCAAACAGGAUUUCUAGUCAGGGGGCUUAAUGCCUAGCAAAGAGUAGACCUCAAAAUAUUUGCCACAUGAAAUAUGCUUCCGUGAAACAUGUACAGUGCUUUUACAGUGGGAGAAGUUUUCAGGUUGUCUAGGGUUGGAAAAAAAGAUAGACAUUCUGAGUUCAGUGUUAGAAGGUGAGGCCUAGGAGAACUCCUCUGUAGGACAUGCCAAGCUUGUCCAGCUGUCUCUGUCCUGUUUUCCAUCCACAGCCCAGUCAAAGGAGGUAUUCAAACAGCAAAGGAGGGGAGCAAGCGUGGCAUGGUAGCAGCACCAAAGGUAAAGGCCAUCUGUCCUGAAGCCUUUUAUUAUAAAAUUUGUAUCUACUUUCCAGGCUCAUAAGUGGUACCAAUUUCCUGGAAAU